GACGAACGCUGGCGGCGUGCUUAACACAUGCAAGUCGAACGGAAAGACCCUGCUUUUGUGGGGUGCUCGAGUGGCGAACGGGUGAGUAACACGUGAGUAACCUGCCCUUGACUUUGGGAUAACUUCAGGAAACUGGGGCUAAUACCGGAUAGGAGCUCCUGCUGCAGGGUGGGGGUUGGAAAGUUUCGGCGGUUGGGGAUGGACUCGCGGCUUAUCAGCUUGUUGGUGGGGGAGUGGCUUACCAAGGCUUUGGCGGGUAGCCGGCCUGAGAGGGUGACCGGCCACAUUGGGACUGAGAUACGGCCCAGACUCCUACGGGAGGCAGCAGUGGGGAAUAUUGCACAAUGGGCGGAAGCCUGAUGCAGCAACGCCGCGUGCGGGAUGACGGCCUUCGGGUUGUAAACCGCUUUCGCCUGUGACGAAGCGUGAGUGACGGUAAUGGGUAAAGAAGCACCGGCUAACUACGUG
RNAcentral lists this ribosomal RNA (468 nucleotides) under uncultured bacterium. RNAcentral's name for it is "partial 16S ribosomal RNA". It matches the Rfam family "Bacterial small subunit ribosomal RNA", at positions 28 to 507 of the family's 1533-position model. The record is from RNAcentral.